AGAGUUUGAUCAUGGCUCAGAGUGAACGCUGGCGGCGUGCUUAACACAUGCAAGUCGAGCGGUAACAGGCGUAGCAAUACGUGCUGACGAGCGGCGAACGGGUGCGUAAUACAUGGGAAUCUGCCCUUUGGUGGGGAAUAACCCGGCGAAAGCCGGGCUAAUGCCGCAUGAGAUCUUCGGAUGAAAGCGGGGGAUCGUAAGACCUCGCGCCGAUGGAUGAGCCCAUGUCGGAUUAGCUAGUUGGUGAGGUAACGGCUCACCAAGGCGACGAUCCGUAGCUGGUCUGAGAGGACGGCCAGCCACACUGGGACUGAGACACGGCCCAGACUCCUACGGGAGGCAGCAGUGGGGAAUAUUGGACAAUGGGCGAAAGCCUGAUCCAGCGACGCCGCGUGUGUGAAGAAGGCCUGCGGGUUGUAAAGCACUUUCGAUGGGAACGAAAUGUGCCGGGCUAAUACCCCGGCAAGCUGACGUUACUCAAUGAAGAAGCACCGGCUAACUACGUGCCAGCAGCCGCGGUAAUUC
Molecule: ribosomal RNA, 525 nt
Filed under: uncultured bacterium
Lineage: Bacteria
Description: bacterial SSU rRNA
Rfam family: Bacterial small subunit ribosomal RNA
Source: RNAcentral